This 358-nucleotide long non-coding RNA is filed under the name Nicotiana benthamiana. RNAcentral describes it as "long non-coding RNA (NBEN_LNC010942)". The record is from RNAcentral. Lineage: Eukaryota; Viridiplantae; Streptophyta; Magnoliopsida; Solanales; Solanaceae.
UUCCCAAACAAAAUAACAUGUUUGGAAUGGACAAAACAAGGGCAUCAACUUGAAAUCAAUAGAUCGCCACAAAAUACUGCAUAAUUGAGCAUCGAUCUUCUCCCAAUAUGCUUUGGCUUUAUCAUCUCCUUCACUAGAUUCCUUGAUUAGAUGAUCUUGAACACCUUGACCUUUACACCACAACUCGACAGACGAAGCCCAAGCUAGGUAGUUUGAACCUCCUAUUAAUGGUUCUGAGGUAAUCAUAACACCGAAACUGCUAGAACCCAGGUUUCUAGACCCGAAAACAUUGAGUCCCAAAGACAUCGUUGGAUUAUCACCAAAUAAUCAGAAAGAAUCAACUGAAAACUCGCUGAAA